GGGGAAUUUUCCGCAAUGGGCGCAAGCCUGACGGAGCAAGACCGCGUGAGGGAGGAAGGCUCUUGGGUUGUAAACCUCUUUUCUUUGGGAAGAAGCAAGUGACGGUACCAAAGGAAUAAGCCUCGGCUAACUCCGUGCCAGCAGCCGCGGUAAUACGGAGGAGGCAAGCGUUAUCCGGAAUCAUUGGGCGUAAAGCGUCCGCAGGUGGCACUUCAAGUCUGCUGUCAAAGGCUGGGGCUUAACCCUAGAAAGGCAGUGGAAACUGAAGAGCUAGAGUACGAUAGGGGUAGAGGGAAUUCCCGGUGUAGCGGUGAAA
Molecule: ribosomal RNA, 316 nt
Filed under: uncultured cyanobacterium
Lineage: Bacteria; Bacillati; Cyanobacteriota
Description: bacterial SSU rRNA
Rfam family: Bacterial small subunit ribosomal RNA
Source: RNAcentral